RNAcentral lists this long non-coding RNA (497 nucleotides) under Helianthus annuus (common sunflower). RNAcentral describes it as "sRNA HanXRQr2_Chr13g0584831". Lineage: Eukaryota; Viridiplantae; Streptophyta; Magnoliopsida; Asterales; Asteraceae. The record is from RNAcentral.
UGGUUGUCUCGCAUUCCCUCAUGUAGGUAUUUUAAACAAAUAGCAGCAUCGCGGGCUAUAUUUAGUCUCACGGGCCAAGAGAUAUGUUGCUUUGACUUGCCCGAUAAAUGAUGAUCUAAGCUUCCGUUAGCCAUGUAUUCAUACACCAAAAGCCGGUGGCUUUCAUUUCCGUGUUGUUCAUAACAGUAGCCGAUUAGCUUCACAAGGUUCGGAUGUUGAAUCUUCCCAAGACAAUCCACUUCUGUCUGCCAUUGCCUCGGAAGACUUACAUUCGGAUCAUUUUUACCGCGCUUCACAGCCACUUGAAUAUAAUCAAACGGGGGCUCUGACCCCUUAAUCACCCCCAAAUGUACACUCCCAAAUCCACCCUGCCCAAUCUUGGUAGACUGGUCAAAGUUUUUAGUGGCUUCAUUAAGCUCAGCAAGUUUGAAUUCCCGAAGAGUGGUGGAUCUCCCAUUCAGAUUCGGGACACCCGAGCUUAUAUAAUCUACACUUCG